RNAcentral lists this ribosomal RNA (638 nucleotides) under fungal sp. BLH 70. Its description in RNAcentral is "eukaryotic LSU rRNA". The stretch from base 279 to 432 matches the Rfam family "5.8S ribosomal RNA". The record is from RNAcentral. Lineage: Eukaryota; Fungi.
CUGCGGAGGGAUCAUUACUGAGUUCUACAAAACUCCCAACCCUAUGUGAAUUUUACCACUGUUGCCUCGGCUGAGCAGCACCUAUGCUGAGGAGAGCUACCCUGGAGCUACCCUGGAGAAGUUUGAGAACACCUACCCUGUAGGAGUUUGAGAGCAUCUACCCUGGAGACGCUUUCAGAGUUACCACUCUUCUCACUGUAGGGGCAACCUAUGCUCGGCCGGCGGACCACUACACUCUGUUUUACAGCGUAUCUCUGAGUACUAAAAAAAUAAGUUAAAACUUUCAACAACGGAUCUCUUGGUUCUGGCAUCGAUGAAGAACGCAGCGAAAUGCGAUACGUAAUGUGAAUUGCAGAAUUCAGUGAAUCAUCGAAUCUUUGAACGCAUAUUGCGCCCAUUAGUAUUCUAGUGGGCAUGCCUAUUCGAGCGUCAUUUCAACCCUUAAGCCCUGUAGCUUAGUGUUGGGACUCUACUCUUUAGUGAGCAGUUCCCUAAAACUAGUGGCGGUGUUAGGUACACUCAUAGCGUAGUAAUUUUUUCUCGCUCCUGCAGUGGACGUAGCUACCUGCCGUAAAACCCCCUAUUUUCUACUGGUUGACCUCGGAUUAGGUAGGAAUACCCGCUGAACUUAAGCAUAU